This 209-nucleotide long non-coding RNA is filed under the name Elaeis guineensis (African oil palm). RNAcentral's name for it is "long non-coding RNA (EGUI_LNC017680)". The record is from RNAcentral. Lineage: Eukaryota; Viridiplantae; Streptophyta; Magnoliopsida; Arecales; Arecaceae.
UCAUGCCCCUUCCAUCUCCCAUCCGUCGGUUGCCUCCCUCAGCUCCUCGCCGUUGGAGGAAGACAAUAGGAAAAAUCAAUGAAGCAGAGGAGGCUGAAAAAAAUAAGAAGGUAAGACCUUUACCCACAUAGAUUAACCCUUUAUUUUUUCCUUGUCGCUUCUUACUUUUUUUAUUUCAUCCUCUUUUUCGGAGAUAUGUGGGGAAGGAG